CGGAGCAUGGCUCAGUUUGGUAGAGCGCACGCUUCGGGAGCGUGAGGUCGUGGGUUCGAAUCCAGCUGCUCCGA
RNAcentral lists this transfer RNA (74 nucleotides) under Candidatus Margulisiibacteriota bacterium. RNAcentral's name for it is "tRNA-Pro". It matches the Rfam family "tRNA". From Rfam's summary of the family: Transfer RNA (tRNA) molecules are approximately 80 nucleotides in length. Lineage: Bacteria; Bacillati; Candidatus Margulisiibacteriota. The record is from RNAcentral.